This 256-nucleotide ribosomal RNA is filed under the name uncultured bacterium. Its description in RNAcentral is "partial small subunit ribosomal RNA". It matches the Rfam family "Bacterial small subunit ribosomal RNA", at positions 26 to 285 of the family's 1533-position model. The record is from RNAcentral.
AGGACGAACGCUGGCGGCGUGCUUAACACAUGCAAGUCGAGCGGUGAUCCCCCUUCGGGGGUGAUCAGCGGCGAACGGGUGAGUAACACGUGGGCAACCUGCCCCUCACACUGGGAUAACCUCGGGAAACCGGGGCUAAUACCGGAUACGACCUCGAGCGGCAUCUCUUGAGGUGGAAAGCUCCGACGGUGAGGGAUGGGCCCGCGGCCUAUCAGCUAGUUGGUGGGGUAAUGGCCUACCAAGGCGACGACGGGUA